RNAcentral lists this small nucleolar RNA (107 nucleotides) under Meriones unguiculatus (Mongolian gerbil). RNAcentral describes it as "Small nucleolar RNA SNORA17 (ENSMUGG00000001496.1)". It matches the Rfam family "Small nucleolar RNA SNORA17". From Rfam's summary of the family: snoRNA ACA 17 belongs to the H/ACA family of snoRNAs and is predicted to guide pseudouridylation of the 28S rRNA at positions U4659 and U4598. It shares the same host gene together with ACA43. Lineage: Eukaryota; Metazoa; Chordata; Mammalia; Rodentia; Muridae. The record is from RNAcentral.
CCUGCCCUGGAAGUGUUGCAGGUGUGGCUGCUGUGUCACAUACUCACCAGCAGGUGGCAGAGAGGAGAGAGGCUGUGUUCUGACCUGUGAACAUCUGAAUGAGCAGU